UUAAGUUCAGCGGGUAUUCCUACCUGAUUCGAGGUCAACCACUAAAAAGAUGGGGUUUUCCGGCCGGGCAACGUCCCACACCCAGAACGAGGUAUAACUACUGCGUUCGGUUUUGGGGCGCCGCCGCCGCUUGCUUUGGGAGGCUGCGGUGCAGUCCUCCAACGCCAGGCAGGGCCUGAGGGUUGCAAUGACGCUCGAAC
This 200-nucleotide unclassified non-coding RNA is filed under the name Chloridium sp. RNAcentral's name for it is "partial internal transcribed spacer 2". Lineage: Eukaryota; Fungi; Ascomycota; Sordariomycetes; Chaetosphaeriales; Chaetosphaeriaceae. The record is from RNAcentral.